GAGCGCCCCUCUGACCUUAGAUCUCUCUCUAGAGCUUCAGGGCAGAGACAGAAGAGCCCAGGAAGGAGCAGAUCCUAGAUUUGCAAGGUCAGAAGCAGAUCUGAUCCCCUUGCCCGGAAUGAGCCAGACUUAAUGAUGAUGCCACCUUCAGGAGCCACCACACUGAUCCCAGGAGGAUGAUACUUGAAGGAUUUUCCAAAGUCAUUUACUUCCAACUCUCUUGAAAACUUUAAAGACAUUGGGCCUGAAAAGUUCAGUGACUUGUCCAGGGAAACCCAGUUUGUUUGUGACAGAGUCAAAAGGAAAACAGUGCAGUUCACUUUCUCACAGGACGUGACUGUGGAGUUCACCGGGAGGAGUGGUGGCAGGUGGACUCUGCACAGAGGACCCUGUACAGAGAUGUGAUGAUGCUGGAGAGCUACAGCCACCUCGUCUCCGUGGGAUGGUACUCUCUACAGGAGUCGACCUUCACACAAAAACACAGAAGUAACUUUACUGAUGCCGCCUGUCUUCCCAGGACCCAGUGGGAAGGAAAAGGGAGGUUCUCUAGCAAAGAGGGUAGGUAAGGGUUGGAGUUUUCCAGCUCUCCAAGCCAGGUGCAGGUCCCAUGAAUGGGGGAGAAGUGUGAUGCCAUCUUUAUGGUAGCCUGAGACCUUUGGAAAACUGGGUCCUUCUGAUGUGGUUAGGGAAGACACAGUACUUCCAACAGCCGCUGCAGCAAGGCACCAGCAACAUCACAGAUGAGAUGAGGAACCUGUUACCUCAGAGCCUCCCAGGGAGAGAGCAUUUGGGCUCCUACCAUUUAUUGGGAUAACUGGUUCCUGGCCCUUUGGAAAAUGCCCAGAAAUCCCAGGGCUAGGCUUCUCAGGAAAAGUAACUUGCCAGUCUCCUUAAAGUAUGUAACUAAAAGCUAUCUACACUUUUAUAUUUUACAUAUACUGUUGGGGCUUCAUUUCAAACUGUUAUAUUGUAAAACUUUCAGAAAGCUUUAAAUCCAAGGCAGUGGCUUUCAAACUCUCUUGACAGCAACUCAAAAAAAUAUGUGACAUAAUUUUUAUAUAAACCGGUAUACACACAUACAUGCACAAAACUAAUACAAAAGUUUUUUGAAACUUUACGUCCCCUUAUUACAUGUAAUACACUCUAAUGUUAUCUAUUCCAUUUUGUUCCAGUGUUUUUUAAGUGCUUGUCACAACCCCUAGAAUUAUUUCAUAGUCCAUUCACAGAUCAAGACCUGUAGUUUGAAAAACACUGUUCUGAAAUUAUGGGUUUCAGCUACAACUGUAGCUGGUAGACUCAUGUUCAGAUUUUUAAAAGACUCAUUAAAAUGCAUCAUCAAAAAGCAGUAUUUGCUAAAGGAACCUCAGUCCCCAUAAAGAGCACUGUCUUGGGGAUUCCAGCCAUAUGUUACCGGAUUAAUAACCAGCCCUCCCUUUGUAGAACUGAGAUGUGAGCUCAACGCUGAGUAAACGUAACAUAAAAUCAGAAUAGAGUUGGAAAACGAGGACCAUCUCCAAAUGCAAUAUGUGUCCCUCUGGAAAACAUAAAGCAGCCUACAGUGAGAUGAGGGGAACAAAACAGAAAAACAAUGGAGAAAAGGUCAAGCUUGCAACAUCUAUCUCCAAGCUUCACAAGGUGCACAUGUACUUUCCAACCCUGGGAGACAGAGUGAUGUUCGGCAUGACUCCACUAAUCAUGUGGCCUUGAGUAUCUCAGCAGACAUCAGGAGUGCCAGGGCAUCAGGGCUGAGAAACGAGAAGUUACCAGACUCUACAAGGUCGGGGGCAGGGUCUCCCCCAGAAGAGUCCUCUGAAGAAUGGAGGGCAAGAAACUCUUGAUUGACAUCACAUUGUGCCAAGGUGGAAGGAAACAAGUCUUUGGCAUGAGCUUGCCAUGAGGAGAAUUCUGAAGCCGACAGGCUUGAAUGGCCACUCUUUCUUCUCUGCCCUGGUGAAUGACUGCUAAAGGAAUUUAAAGCCUGUAAAAUAACAAUACAUGUCUAUUUGUUGACUUGGCCAUUGAACUGGACGCCUUGCCUCCUUGCAGACUUCCAGCUGUGAACCCAGAUGUAAAAGCAAAACAAAACAAAACAACAACCCAAUCAAAGAAAUCUCUGUUUAGCUGCAAAGACUGUCGACCCGAAGAAUAGAGUUGACAUGAUGUGAUUCUUCAGUUCACUGAUCUGAAGAAAAGGAAUCCUUUAUUUGUGGCCGGCUAAGGAAGGCCAGUUAACAAAUGCAGAAAAGCUGAGAAAUGGUAGGAGAAAGUGGAGAAGCAAACAGGAGAAGAGAGAAAAACUAGACAUAAGAAAAGUGUUAGGAACAAAAGAAACAGCAAACUUCAGAGUUGGUGCCAAUGUUGAAGAAGAUUCUGGUGACCACUGUCACAUUGCUGGUCCCCAGUGAGCCACAUCUCCCACUAUUUGCCCUGGUCCGCUCACAGUCCCUCAGUUGGGAGUGUGACAUAUUUUAACUAACCAGAGGUAGCAGAGUGAUGCUGUAUCAGUUCUUGAUCUAAGCUUUAAGUUCUGCUUUUGUGCUCUUAUGAGCCCUGAUCUGCCUCAUAAGAAUUUUGUUACCUGCUAGAGCUAUGUGGAGAGGCCAUAGGAGAAGCCACAUAAGAGGGAGAGGCCCUGAGAGAAAAGCCUAGCUGUCCCAGUGUCCCAGCCAAGCCCAGUCCCCUGCUGACCUACCAGCUGGAUGAGUCCACAUGAGUGACCGUUGGCAAGAUCAACAGAAGAAUGACCCAGCUAAGCCCAGCCCAGAGUGCAGAAUUGUGAGCAAAUAAAAUGUUCCUUGUUUUAAGCCACUAAGUUCUGGAGUGAUUUGUUAUACAGCAAAAGAUAGCUGCUGGUAUGACAAUGGAGGAGAAGAGUAGGGAUCAAGACCCAGUGACUUUACUCUCUGGGACAGCGUUGUGUAGAGUGAAGACGCAGGCCUGGGACCAAAGCACGCUUGGUUCAAAUCCUUACUUUGUCACUUUUAAGCUCUGUGGCCUUGGUCAAGUUAUUUAAUCUCUCUGGGGCUUAGUCUUAUCUGUAAAAUGAGAAAAAUAUUUCUUCCCUCACAGGAUAGUUAAGAAAUGAAAUAAGUGAAAGUUUGGGGCACAUAGUAAGUAAGUACCCACCAAACAUUAGUUCUCUUCCACUUCCUCCCUGUGGUUCUCUCGCCCCCUGAGGGGGUGAAAGUGAUCCAAACUACAUUAACUCUGAAGGGUGGUCUGGGACCUGCUAAAGGCAGUUCUGUCACAGGUGAGUUUUGCACUGUGUGUGUGUAUUUGACACACAUUCAUUGUGUUUAUAUGAAAAAGAGGUAAACUCCUAAAAUACAACUGAUGGAUUUUUUUGAAUGAUGGCAGAUUUUGGGGCCACCGCUGGAGUCAAUGUGCAUUUGUGUCUACAUCCCAGACCGUCUAUACCUGCUCCUCUGGAGGACCACAGUUGCUUAUUAGACUAAGCGUCAGUCGUCAGGGAAUGUUGAAGUUACAUUCAGCUUGUUUUAUUGCAGAAGGCAUGGAGGCAUAUACUAUAUUGCCAUCAGAUUUUCAUGAAAAAGCAUUACUGUCUCAGUUCUAUACAAAGUUCACUUAGGCAAAAAUUGCACAUUUUGAGACAGUGCUAGGUAAAAUCUGGUGCUUGUUGAGUCCUUACCUUCAUCCUAGAAGGUGAUUUAGGGCCCUGGGAAGAAAGAAGUCCCAUAUUGAGUGUCUAAAUUAAAACUGUGCUGACACCAAGUUUCCAAGCCUUCUGAGAGAAAACACACACACACACACACACACACACACACGAAAGAAAGGAUUGAGGAGAAAAGGAAUAAACUUUCCCUGGCCUCAGUUUCCAAUCUUUAAAAUGAGAAAGCUAGACUGGAAGGUUCUCCAAGGUCAUUCCAGCGCCGAGUGCAGCGGACCUCUCAGAUCCUGUGCCUGUGUUAGCCCUCCAUGGACAGUGAGAUUGACAACACCGGUUGCUCUCCAGCAAAACUUUAAAUGCAGAGCUUUAAUUAGA
Diceros bicornis minor is the source of this 4003-nucleotide long non-coding RNA. RefSeq lists it as uncharacterized. NCBI's taxonomy places the organism in Eukaryota, Metazoa, Chordata, Mammalia, Perissodactyla, Rhinocerotidae. The transcript has 7 exons. The record is from RefSeq and is a predicted model, not a curated record.